Long non-coding RNA from Zingiber officinale, 2889 nucleotides. RefSeq lists it as uncharacterized. The record is from RefSeq and is a predicted model, not a curated record. Lineage: Eukaryota; Viridiplantae; Streptophyta; Magnoliopsida; Zingiberales; Zingiberaceae. The transcript has 6 exons.
ACCUUCACGCGGACGAACAGAACUCACGAUCUGCUGCUCGCGACUUCUCUUAGGCUAGGGCACGCGAUUUCCCCACCGCCAGCCACUCUCUUCCUUUCUUCUUCCUCACCACAGGCAGGCGGCUCUUUCCUUACCUUCACUGCCGCCGGCCGGUCCCCACAUCCAUUUCUCCACUUCUCUGAUCUGCUCAACUCCGCGACGACAGCAGCUCCGGCGGUCUCUUUGAGCGGACAGCAGUGUGGGUCUAGGGUUCUCUUGACGGCGGAGCGUUCUCCUCCGGCAAGGUAUUCCUUCUUCAUUCCUACCUCAGCGGACAUCUUCCUGUGGACGGCGUUCCGAAAGCAGAGGAUUCCAGCAGAGGAAUCCGACUGUGCCUUAUUCUCCAGUGAGCUUCUUCUCAACUUCAUCACUGACGUUGUUGGAUCUUCUGGUGAUGGCGUUCCACAAACAGAAGGUUCCAUCUCAGUGCAUACUCCAAUUCCAGCACAAGCACUCCAAUUCCGGCAGAUCACUCAAGCAAGCUGGUCGUGAUCAGGGGCUGUCGUUGUGUGCUGUUCACCAGUGAUGGCGUUCCAGAUCUGGUACCUUUGUGUGACGGCGAAGGGUAGUUGAAUGGGUGUAUGAUCGCUGAGGAGUGGAUUUGGUGGAGCUGGAGAUGUUGCUUGAACUUUACCCAAAGCAUUGGCCAAGAGAGGACAUCGUGUAAUGGGUCCUUGGCGUGUCCCAUGUGGUUGAUUUUUCUGAUAAUGGACUUAUGAUGUAUACCCUAAUGUGCCAGGGUAAUACACAACGUUGCACAUCAGGGAUCAUUGUAGUUUGAGUUAGAGCUUUGGAUUAUUCAAGACAAAGUUCCAACAAUUUCAAAAGUUGAAACUAAAGAUCUUUAAUCUGUUUCAAUUUUUACAAGUUAUUGUUAAUUCUGGUGAUUUUACUGUCAUCCAGAAAUAUUACUGGUGGAUUAAUUAAUUCUUUCCUCUUUUUCAGAUUGAAAGGGUAGCUAGCAUGUUAAUUCACUUUCUCUUGCAACUUGCUGAUCUUCAACGGAGGUUUCGUAAUAUAAAAGAUCCUGAAAAAUACGAAUUUAGAACCAGACAAUUGUGAAAACAAGUUAGUGCAAUGCCCAUUUGAUUUUUCGUAUGAUCUUAAAUUACAUUGUUGUUUAAUGCUUGUGAAUUUGCUGUGAAAGAUUGUCGAGAUUUAUGUUUAUAUUGCAAGAAGUGAUAAAGAGAAUGUAUUUCUUGUUGCAAUCUUGAAGGAUGGAUGAGCAUACAAUGAGAGGUGUCGACUAUGCACGAUUAACUUGUAUGGAUAAGGAUGCCUUGUGAAUCAGCCUUUUCUAUCAUGUUUUAUGUAGUGUUAAUUUUUUGAAGUUUUAUAAACGGUUGUUUACAUCUACAGUUGAUAUUCUCUCGAAUAUUGACAAAGAUGGUAAGGUGAUCCAAGAGUUUGUUCAGUUUGAUCUCAAACAAAAUCAACAACAUUUGAAGCAUUGAAUGUUAAGGCUAUUUUUGGAGAGAUACUAGAUAAAUUUCUUGUCUCGAUUCAAGCCUGAAUCGGGUUAAAAAAUUCAUUUGGUAUCUUGUUAAGAAUAGUCUCAGUAUUCAAUGCUUCAGAAGCUGCUUAUUUGGCUUUAAGCUAAACAAACUUUUGGAUCACCUUACCAUGUUCACUAAUUUUCGAUAGAAUAUCAACUGCAGAUGUAAACACUGUUCCAUUUAUAAAACUUUAGAAAAUUUAACACUGCAUAAAUCAUGAUAUAAAGGGUUGAUUCAUAAGGCAUCCUUAUCCAUGCAAGACAAUCGUGCAUAGGAGAUGUCUCAUUGUAUGCCCAUCCAUUUCAAAGCAGGAAACACAUUCUCUUUAUCAUUUCUUACAAUAUAAAUAUAAAUCUUGACAAUCUUUCAUAGCACAUUCACAGACAUUAAAUAAAAAUGUAAUUUAAGAUUAUACGAAAAGUCAAAUGAACAUUGCACUAAUUUGUUUUCACAAUUGUGUGGUUCUAAAUUCGUAUUUUUCAGAAUCUUGUAUAUUACGAAACCUCCGUUGAAGAUCAACAAGUUGCAAGAGAAAGUGAAUUAGCAUGGUAACUACUCUUUCAACCUGAAAAAGAGAAAAUAACUAAUUAAUUUAAUAAUAAUAUUUCCUGAUGAUAGUAAAGUCACCAGAAUGAACAAUAACUUAUAAGAAUUGAAAUAGUUUAAAUCAUUGAUGGACAAGAGUGAUUCACAAGGCAUUCUCGCCUAUGGAAGACAAUUGUGCAUAGAAGAUACCUUCUUAUUGUAUGACCAUCCAUCUUUCGAGAUUGGUGAAGAUGGUAAAGUAAUUCAGAAGUUUUUUCAGCUUGGUCUCAAAGUCAAAUCAGCAACUUCUAAAGCAUUGAAUGUUGAGGCUAUGCUUGAAGAGAUAUCAAAUGAAUUCCUUGAUCCGAUAUAGUAUAACUGAUGAGAGAUCCUGCCAUUUUACCUUUAUCAAGAAUAUAAGUAGACCAGCCAGUUAUCCAAAGGCGCUUGCUGAGUGACCGAUCCAUUCAACCAUUCCCAUCUCACUCAAGACAUGCUGAUACUCAACACAGAGCUGAAACAAAGAAUCCAAGAUUUCAUCAGAUCUGUAGAGGAAACGAAGCAGAGGGAAUGAAGCUUCUGAAGAUGUUUGUGGUUGAGUAAAUGCAGAUCAAAGCUGUUUACGAAAAUGACAAAGGGUGAAGCUGAAGGUCCACCUUUCUAGUCUUCAAUAGUGGGGGAAAUUGUUAUCCAUAUUCCAACACCUUUGUGACCGACAAAAACACAUUAAAGGCCUUACAAAAGGCUUCUGCUAUGAAUUGUAAAACUUUUCUUAUUCUUUCAUUACAUAACAUAUAGAGAAUUUAUACUCGUUUACAAGGUUUUUCCA